CCUACGGGAGGCUGCAGUGAGGAAUAUUGGUCAAUGGGCGCUAGCCUGAACCAGCCAAGUAGCGUGAAGGAUGACUGCCCUAUGGGUUGUAAACUUCUUUUAUAUGGGAAUAAAGUGCAGUAUGUAUACUGCUUUGCAUGUACCUUAUGAAUAAGGAUCGGCUAACUCCGUGCCAGCAGCCGCGGUAAUACGGAGGAUCCGAGCGUUAUCCGGAUUUAUUGGGUUUAAAGGGAGCGUAGGCGGGUUGUUAAGUCAGUUGUGAAAGUUUGCGGCUCAACCGUAAAAUUGCAGUUGAUACUGGCAGCCUUGAGUACAGUAGAGGUAGGCGGAAUUCGUGGUGUAGCGGUGAAAUGCUUAGAUAUCACGAAGAACUCCGAUUGCGAAGGCAGCCUGCUGGACUGUAACUGACGCUGAUGCUCGAAAGUGUGGUUAUCAAACAGGAUUAGAUACCCCUGUAGUC
Molecule: ribosomal RNA, 460 nt
Filed under: uncultured bacterium
Lineage: Bacteria
Description: partial 16S ribosomal RNA
Rfam family: Bacterial small subunit ribosomal RNA
Source: RNAcentral